UCAGAACGUACGCNGGCGGCACGCCUAACACAUGCAAGUCGAACGCAGUAGCAAUACUGAGUGGCGAACGGGUGAGUAUAAUGUGGGUAUCUGCCUUUUGGUUUGGAAUAACACGGGGAAACUUGUGCUAAUACCGGAUAAGCCUUCACAGGGAAAGCUUUAGCGCCAAAAGAUGAGCCCGCACUUGAUUAGCUAGUUGGUGGGGUAAAGGCCUACCAAGGCAACGAUCAAUAGCUGAUCUGAGAGGAUGAUCAGCCACAUUGGGACUGAGACACGGCCCAAACUCNUACGGGAGGCAGCAGUGGGGAAUCUUGCACAAUGGGGGAAACCCUGAUGCAGCGAUGCCGCGUGAGUGAAGAAGGCCUUUGGGUUGUAAAGCUCUUUCGUCGGGGAAGAAAAUGACUGUACCCGAAUAAGAAGGUCCGGCUAACUUCGUGCCAGCAGCCGCGGUAAUACGAAGGGACCUAGCGUAGUUCGGAAUUACUGGGCUUAAAGAGCUCGUAGGUGGUUAGAAAAGUUGGUGGUGAAAUCCCAAGGCUUAACCUUGGAACUGCCAUCAAAACUUUUUGACUAGAGUAUGAUAGAGGAAAGUGGAAUUUCUAGUGUAGAGGUGAAAUUCGUAGAUAUUAGAAAGAACACCGAAUGCGAAGGCAACUUUCUGGAUCAUUACUGACACUGAGGAGCGAAAGCAUGGGUAGCGAAGAGGAUUAGAUACCCUCGUAGUCCAUGCCGUAAACGAUGUGUGCUAGACGUUGGAAAUUUAGUUUUCAGUGUCGCAGCGAAAGCGUUAAGCACACCGCCNGGGGAGUACGACCGCAAGGUUAAAAC
This 828-nucleotide ribosomal RNA is filed under the name uncultured Pelagibacterales bacterium. RNAcentral describes it as "SSU rRNA". It matches the Rfam family "Bacterial small subunit ribosomal RNA", at positions 24 to 900 of the family's 1533-position model. The record is from RNAcentral. Lineage: Bacteria; Pseudomonadati; Pseudomonadota; Alphaproteobacteria; Candidatus Pelagibacterales.